RNAcentral lists this ribosomal RNA (2340 nucleotides) under Triticum aestivum (bread wheat). RNAcentral's name for it is "partial small subunit ribosomal RNA". The record is from RNAcentral. Lineage: Eukaryota; Viridiplantae; Streptophyta; Magnoliopsida; Poales; Poaceae.
AUGUGGUUAGAAGAUGAAAGAUAUGAUGAUUCAGAACAAAAUAGUGAUUUCUAUAACUCACUAGAUGAUGUGGGACUACAUAAUUUAGAGAAUGCAAUGGAAGCCAUGGAAGUAGAAAGUAGUGGUAAAAGAAGAAGGGGAUAUGGUGAAUCAUCUGUAAAAAGAGAAGGAGAAAGAGAGAGACCUACCAGGACAGCUGGACAAUGGCCUCCAGAAAAAGAUGAUUACCAGCCUACAUAUAUCCCAGGACAAUAUAGAUACAUGGGUACUAAAAGAAGAGAUUUUGAAAAACCAGUGCAAUUCCAAAAUUAUAAAAAUGAUGGUGCUAUAUUAAACCUAGCAGCUCAUGACCCAAUAGAUUGGCCGAAUAUAAUCAGCAUAUGGAAAGGUUUAAUAGUACAAAAAUAUAUACAAAAUCAGUAUAGCAUAGGCGCUAAGGUAGAAGAUAUGUUAACAUAUCUUGAAACAUUUUUAGGAGAAUCUGUAAAAGUUCUUUGGGAACAAUGGGUAGAAUCAUACCCUAGUCAAUAUGAAGAAUUAAAAAGGGCAGGAAGUAACCCUAAUAACUUUGCGAAUGUUAUCUCAAAUAUGAUCAUAGCAGAAGAUCCUGAAUUAGGACAUACCUCAUUGCAAAAUGAAAGGUUAAGAGAAAUAGAAAAAUUAACAUUAACUAGCUGGAAAGGUAUUAAAGAAUUUUCUCAGCAUUAUUUGUAUAAUGCUACUACUGCUAAACAAGGUUUUAAUGUAGGCGUAGUAGAAAGAUAUUUUAAUAAGUUGCCUGACCCCCUAGGGUCAAUAAUAUUUGAAGAAUAUAAAAAGGAAACGGCGGGAAAUGUGGUAAAUAUAUCUCAAGCUGUAACAUUUGUUUUCAAACAAUUAAGAAAGGUAUGUACGAGUAUUCAAGCCCAAAGAUCUAUGAAGAAAUCAGAUUAUAAUUUUUGUAAUAAUAUUGUCCAAAUACCACUUACAUAUGGAGAAGAAAAAUAUAUUGUUCGAUUACCAUUCAAAGAAGUGUUAGGAAUAAGGAUCCCAGUUAAGAUUGUUCUGAAGCCAAAUAUUUCAUAUAAAGUACUGGCACUAUUAGAUACUGGUUGCACUAAAAAUAUCAUCCAUGAUAAAUAUUUUAUGAGAUGUCCCGAAAUAGUUGAAACUAUAGAUGAUAAUAAAGCUGAAGUAUCUACCGAUAUGUCAGGAAUAAAGAAGAUCCAUAACCAGCUAGCAUAUAAUAUUGAAGCUUACAUAAAUGGCACAAAAUAUAUAAUAGAUGAAAUUACAAUAAGAGAUUUGUCAGUAAUAAAUGAUGACAUGAUAAUAGGGUUAAGAUUUUUACAACAAUCUUUACAAACCACAAUCAUACAUGAAGAGGGGGUAACAUUUAUUCCUUAUCAAGAUAAUGUUCCAUACAUAUCUGAAGUGCGAAAACAAAGAAAGUCCUUGCAAAAUGUAGAAAUAUCUAAUGUAGAUAAUGAAUAUAGCACAAGUCCAGAUUCCCUUGAAUUCUGUAAAGACGAAGAACUUAGUGAGACCAUAGAAGAAUAUCAUAUAGAAAAUACAUGUACUGAAUGCAUUGGGUUGCAAUCAUUCUCUCCAAACUGGUAUAGAGAUAUAAAAUCCAAAAAGGAUAUAGAUAAGAUUGUGCAAAGACUAGAAAGUAUACAAAUUAUUGGAGAAAUACCAAUGAAACAUUGGGAUAAGAACUCUAUAGUUUGCAAAAUAAAUAUCAUAAAUCUAGAUUAUAUAAUUAAGUCAGGACCAAUAGAAGCAACUCCUAAAGAUAUCGAAGAAUUCAAAAUGCAUAUUGAAGAGUUAUUAAAGUUAAAAGCUAUAAGAGAAAGCAGAAGCCCUCAUCGAUCUGCUGCUUUUAUAGUUAGAAAUCAUGCUGAAGAAGUUAGAGGUAAAUCUAGAAUGGUAAUUAAUUUUAAAAGGCUUAAUGAUAAUACAGUUGACGAUGCAUACAACAUACCUAAUAAACAGGAAUGGAUUAACAGAAUACAAGGAAGUAAAUAUUUCUCUAAAUUCGACUUAAAGGCAGGAUUUUGGCAAGUAAAAAUGGCUGAAGAAUCUAUUCCCUGGACAGCAUUUACUUGUCCACAAGGCCAUUAUGAAUGGCUAGUAAUGCCAUUAGGCCUAAAGAAUGCACCUGCACUUUUUCAAAGAAAGAUGCAAAAUAUAUUUAAUGAGAAUCAAGCAUUUAUAUUAGUAUACGUAGAUGAUUUGUUAGUAUUCUCAAAAUCUUACAAAGAGCAUAUAGCCCAUCUUGAAGUGUUCUUUCGAAAGGUAGAACAAAAUGGGCUCAUACUGUCCAAAAAGAAGAUGGAAAUCUGCAAAGAAAAAAAAUAA